Molecule: ribosomal RNA, 253 nt
Filed under: uncultured bacterium
Lineage: Bacteria
Description: partial 16S ribosomal RNA
Rfam family: Bacterial small subunit ribosomal RNA
Source: RNAcentral
UACAGAGGGGGCAAGCGUUGCUCGGAAUUACUGGGCGUAAAGGGCGCGUAGGCGGGAUGGCAAGUCGGUCGUGAAAUCCUUCGGCUCAACCGAAGAACGUCGAUCGAUACUGCUGUUCUUGAGGAUUGCAGAGGAGACUGGAAUUCCCGGUGUAGCGGUGAAAUGUGUAGAGAUCGGGAGGAACACCGGUGGCGAAGGCGGGUCUCUGGACCGGCAUUGACGCUGAGGUGCGAAAGCGUGGGGAGCGAACAGG